CCUUUUGUCCAUUUAUUUUCACUGAACCUUCAAAGGGUGAAGGGGAAGGUUUUCCUUGGCCCCUACAGUUUUUGGUACUGUGAGCAGGAUAAUCAGAACUAUCCUGCUGUUCUGAAAGCUGCAGUCAAGGUUACCCAGAACCUGACAAGCCAGCAGAAGGGCACAAAUUUCUUACCAGUGAGAUUCCUGGGUGUCUGUCUGUGAAAUCCAGUGAAGCAGAUGGGUCCCAAGACCUCCAUUCCAGAGAGGGCCCUGCCCGAGACUCAGAAGGAAGGAAUGCUCCGCAGAAAGGCCAAGAAGAAUCUAACCAGACAGGCCUUGCUGCAUUUCCCCGCUCAGUCUAUUACCAUUAUAUUACACAUUUUUUGUCCAAUCAUAUUUCUACAUGGCUGUCCAUACAUUGUUAAACCUAGCAUAAAAAUGGACAACUUUCCCUGCAUCUUUAGGUCUUCAUUAGAAGGCUGCUGUGUCACAUAAAACUAUGACCCAAUAAAUUUAUAUGCCUUUUCUUCUAUUAACCUGCCUUUAGUCA
This 532-nucleotide long non-coding RNA is filed under the name Homo sapiens (human). Its description in RNAcentral is "non-protein coding lnc-UBASH3B-1:2". The record is from RNAcentral. Lineage: Eukaryota; Metazoa; Chordata; Mammalia; Primates; Hominidae.